RNAcentral lists this ribosomal RNA (783 nucleotides) under uncultured organism. RNAcentral's name for it is "bacterial SSU rRNA". It matches the Rfam family "Bacterial small subunit ribosomal RNA", at positions 684 to 1479 of the family's 1533-position model. The record is from RNAcentral.
AAAUGCAUAGAUAUUACACAGAACACCGAUUGCGAAGGCAGCUUACCAAACCAGCACUGACGCUGAAGCACGAAAGCGUGGGGAGCGAACAGGAUUAGAUACCCUGGUAGUCCACGCCGUAAACUUUUGCUCACUCGCUGUUGGCGAUAGACAGUCAGCGGCCAAGGGAAACCGAUAAGUGAGCCACCUGGGGAGUACGGCCGCAAGGUUGGAACUCAAAGGAAUUGACGGGGGCCCGCACAAGCGGUGGAACAUGUGGUUUAAUUCGAUGAUACGCGAGGAACCUUACCUGGGCUUAAAUGUGAAGUGCAUUGAUUGGAAACAAUCAUUUCCUUCGGGACCCUUUACAAGGUGCUGCAUGGUUGUCGUCAGCUCGUGCCGUGAGGUGUCGGGUUAAGUCCCAUAACGAGCGCAACCCCUAUUGUUAGUUACCAGCGCGUGAUGGCGGGGACUCUAGCGAAACUGCCGGUGUAAACCGCGAGGAAGGUGGGGAUGACGUCAAAUCAGCACGGCCCUUAUGUCCAGGGCUACACACGUGUUACAAUGGCCGGUACAGCGGGCAGCUAGGCAGCGAUGUCAUGCUAAUCCCGAAAGCCGGUCCCAGUUCGGAUUGGAGUCUGCAACCCGACUCCAUGAAGGUGGAAUCGCUAGUAAUCGCGCAUCAGCCAUGGCGCGGUGAAUACGUUCCCGGGCAUUGUACACACCGCCCGUCAAGCCAUGGAAGUCUGGGGUGCAUGAAGGCCGUAACCGCAAGGAGCGUUCUAGGGUAAACAGAUGACUGGG